AGGAUGAACGCUGGCGGCGUGCUUAACACAUGCAAGUCGAACGGUGAAAGAGGAGCUUGCUCCUCUGGAUCAGUGGCGAACGGGUGAGUAACACGUGAGUAGCCUGCCCCAGACUCUGGGAUAAGCACUGGAAACGGUGUCUAAUACCGGAUACGAGCUUCAGCCGCGUGGCUAGGAGCUGGAAAGAAUUUCGGUCUGGGAUGGACUCGCGGCCUAUCAGCUAGUUGGUGAGGUAACGGCCCACCAAGGCGACGACGGGUAGCCGGCCUGAGAGGGUGACCGGCCACACUGGGACUGAGACACGGCCCAGACUCCUACGGGAGGCAGCAGUGGGGAAUAUUGCACAAUGGGCGCAAGCCUGAUGCAGCAACGCCGCGUGAGGACGACGGCCUUCGGUUGUAACCGUCUUUUAGUAAGGUAAGAAGCGAAAGUGACGGUACCGUGACAAGAAAAAGACACCGGACUAACUACGU
RNAcentral lists this ribosomal RNA (473 nucleotides) under uncultured soil bacterium. RNAcentral's name for it is "bacterial SSU rRNA". It matches the Rfam family "Bacterial small subunit ribosomal RNA", at positions 26 to 506 of the family's 1533-position model. The record is from RNAcentral.